GGUGAACCUGCGGAAGGAUCAUUAUUGAAUUAAUGUAGAGUUUGGUUGUAGCUGGCUCCUAAUUAAACUUGGGGGCAUGUGCACACCUUUCUCUUUCAUCCCAUACACACCUGUGCACCUGUGAGACAGAUGUUUUGUGGGGGGGAAGGAACUUUAUUGGACCUUCUACUCCCCCUUGACUUCUGUCUACUUAAUUCAUAUAAACUCAAUUUAUUUUAAAACGGAUGUAAUGGAUGUAACACAUCUAAUACUAAGUUUCAACAACGGAUCUCUUGGCUCUCGCAUCGAUGAAGAACGCAGCGAAAUGCGAUAAGUAAUGUGAAUUGCAGAAUUCAGUGAAUCAUCGAAUCUUUGAACGCACCUUGCGCUCCUUGGUAUUCCUUGGAGCAUGCCUGUUUGAGUAUCAUGAAAUCUUCAAAGUCAAACCUUUUGUUAAUUCAAUUGGUUCUGCUUUGGUAUUGGAGGAUUAUUGCAGCUUCACACCUGCUCCUCUUUGUGCAUUAGCUGGAUCUCAGUGUUAUGCUUGGUUCCACUCAGCGUGAUAAGUUAUCUAUCGCUGAGGACACCCUGUUAAAAAGGGGUGGCCAAGGUAAAUGCAGAUGAACCGCUUCUAAUAGUCCAUUGACUUGGACAAUAUCUAAUUUAUGAUC
This 650-nucleotide ribosomal RNA is filed under the name Rhizoctonia solani. Its description in RNAcentral is "eukaryotic LSU rRNA". The stretch from base 253 to 406 matches the Rfam family "5.8S ribosomal RNA". The record is from RNAcentral. Lineage: Eukaryota; Fungi; Basidiomycota; Agaricomycetes; Cantharellales; Ceratobasidiaceae.